GGCAUGACCCCAUGCGGCGUCCAUUCCUGUCCCAAAAGGAAGACAAACAAUUCUCCUCUGUUUUACCGGAGGUUUUUGUCGCCUUACGUGGCGAACGUCGAGAGAACGAAUCGUGGUCUUGAUGAAACUGAAGGGGACGCACCCCCGCACCACCGCCCCUGUGCAACUGGGCCACCAAAUUCCAUGCUUCCAACCAUGUGAUUCCCCAGUGAGGCGCACAUACAGUCGCCGCUCAAGUUAAAUGAAGUCUCUGGAUUCCCGUGGGAUGGAUUCAGGAGCUACACGGGUGUGCUGGAGCCAGCUGACUGAAGACGUGAGGCGCGAUAAAUCCUAGACUGAUCACCGGUCAAUCCUAGGACAGUCAGUCGUCGAGCUGAGGCGGAAUAGGCGAGGGGAUGAUGAGGAUGACGACAUUGAGACCAGACCAAAAAGACAUGGACUGCGCAGUAUGUUUAUGAAUUGGUAAGUCCAGCCAAACCACAGCAAACCACAGCAAGCAAUGAACAUUUGGCUGAUUUUUUUUUUUUCAUAGGGCUGAAAAAAAAAAUAAAAAUGAGGUGCUGUCUGGGAACACGGUGUCCCCUGGUACAUUUGUGGUUUUAAUGGAAUAUGUCCCACAGGAGCCCUGACAACAUGUGCGGUAAAUAUGAGUCUGCAGUACAUUUGGCUGGCAAAGACGAGACAAACAUCAUCCUAUCAGAAGACAAAGAAGGAUGCGAAACCUGUCCUGACUUUUGUCGCGUUUUUGAAGCAACCCAAUGCUGCAUCGUACUUGUCCUCGUUACGAUGGCGGUAAAGCUGGAGCCUCUCCCAGCUGACUUUAGAGAGAGUAAGUAUCCAACCUUGAAUGGCCGCCAGCUGACGACAUGUCUCACAUUGCCUUUUUAUUUCUUUAUUUGCAAAGUACAGGUAAAAAGUUGCGGUGUUGGAGAAGCCCAGAUGCAACAUUCUAUUUGUUCGAGGCUAUGACCACACUUGGAGAUGCCAAGACUGAAAACUUGA
Long non-coding RNA from Hippocampus comes (tiger tail seahorse), 1002 nucleotides. RefSeq lists it as uncharacterized. The transcript has 6 exons. Lineage: Eukaryota; Metazoa; Chordata; Actinopteri; Syngnathiformes; Syngnathidae. The record is from RefSeq and is a predicted model, not a curated record.